UGUCGUCACAGUGCAACGAAGUCUUCAGCAGAUCAUCAGAAUCCACAUCUUCUCCAACUUUUUUCUCCAUAAUGCUCACUCGGCCCUGACACACGACACAGAUUUAACGUUCCAACACAUAUCAUCACGGCGAUCCUCAGGCCGAUACCGGAGGAGCAGCCGGUGAUCAGAACCACUUUCUGUCCAGGACCCGCCAUGACCCUGUGCAUGCUGUGGGCAAAGCAAGAACCCGGCAGAAGAGAAG
Molecule: long non-coding RNA, 244 nt
Organism: Thalassophryne amazonica
Lineage: Eukaryota; Metazoa; Chordata; Actinopteri; Batrachoidiformes; Batrachoididae
Exons: 2
Source: RefSeq, a predicted model, not a curated record